GAAAUGCGAUAAGUAAUGUGAAUUGCAGAAUUCAGUGAAUCAUCGAAUCUUUGAACGCACAUUGCGCCCGGGAGCAUUCUCCCGGGCAUGCCUGUUCGAGCGUCAUUUCAACCCUCGAUCUCCCCUUGGGGAGGCCGGCCGUUGGAGAUCGGCAGCGAUUGCCGGCUCCCAAAUUCAGUGGCGACCCGCCGCGGGGACCCCUGCGCAGUAACAUACACUCGCACCGGAAACCAGACGUGUCACGCCGUAAAACCCCAACUUUCUGAACGUUGACCUCGGAUCAGGUAGGAAUACCCGCUGAACUUAAGC
This 309-nucleotide unclassified non-coding RNA is filed under the name plant metagenome. Its description in RNAcentral is "partial contains 5.8S ribosomal RNA, internal transcribed spacer 2, and large subunit ribosomal RNA". The stretch from base 1 to 105 matches the Rfam family "5.8S ribosomal RNA", at positions 50 to 154 of the family's 154-position model. The record is from RNAcentral.